RNAcentral lists this ribosomal RNA (372 nucleotides) under Triticum aestivum (bread wheat). Its description in RNAcentral is "partial small subunit ribosomal RNA". Lineage: Eukaryota; Viridiplantae; Streptophyta; Magnoliopsida; Poales; Poaceae. The record is from RNAcentral.
AUGUGGGCCACAUCUGUCGGGCUGUUGUGGCAUGCUUGUGUGGACAAUUUUGCUGAGUUGGAUGAGGUCCCAUCUGUCAAUGACUCGAGUGUUUAUCUUUUUCACCUUUUCUUUUUUCAUUUUUCUCAUGGGCAUUACAGCAAACAGGCUAUGGGCGUCUCGGCUCCACGACCAGGAAGCAAGGCCGUGCAGCAGCUCCCGGGGAGCCGGCUUAUGCAGUCGUGGCAAGGAGAAGCUCUGGCGGCGCCACGACCAGGCGAGGCCGCGCGGCGGCUUACCAGGGAGCCGACUUAUGCAGUUGCGACAAGGAGAAGCUCCGGCGGCGCCGCGACCAGACGAGGCCGCGCGACGGCUCACAGGGGAGCCGGCUGA